AUGGCGGCCGUGGGGACGCCGCAGGAACCGUACGCGCCCAAGCCGGCGGCCGAGGGGAGGGGCUACUGGCGGUGGCACAGGGACGAUUUCUUCCCGGAGCCGUCGUUCGCGAGCUGGGGCGCGUACCGCUCCGCGCUGGCCGCGACCCCCGCGAGGCUCCGCGACCGCUUCACCGGCCGCUCCACCGACGCCAUCGAGCUCGGCGCGCUGCGGCGCCGCAGCGAGAACGAGAUGCGCCGCUGCCUCACGUGGUGGGACCUCACGUGGUUCGGCUUCGGCUCCGUCAUCGGCGCCGGGAUCUUCGUGCUCACCGGCCAGGAGGCGCACGACCACGCCGGCCCCGCCAUCGUGCUCUCCUACAUCGUCUCUGGCCUCUCCGCUAUGCUGUCCGUGUUCUGCUACACCGAGUUCGCCGUCGAGAUCCCCGUGGCCGGCGGCUCCUUCGCGUACCUCCGCGUCGAGCUCGGCGACGUCGCGGCCUUCAUCGCCGCCGCGAACCUUAUCCUCGAGAGCAUCAUCGGCACGGCCGCGGUGGCGCGCUCCUGGACGUCCUACUUCGCGUCGCUCAUCAACAAGCCGGCGAGCGCGCUGCGCAUACAGACCUCGCUCAAAGACGGGUACAACGAGCUUGACCCCAUCGCGGUCGUGGUGAUCGCGGUCACCGCCACCAUGGCCAUCCUGAGCGCCAAGGGCACUUCCCGGAUCAACUGGGUGGCGUCCGCGAUACACGUGGUCGUGAUAGCGUUCGUCAUCGUGGCAGGAUUCAUCCACGCCAACCCGAGCAACCUGACCCCGUUCAUGCCGCACGGCGUGCCGGGCGUGUUCCAGGCGGCGGCGAUCGUGUACUUCGCCUACGGCGGCUUCGACAACAUCGCGACGAUGGCGGAGGAGGUGAAGAACCCGUCGAGGGACAUACCGCUGGGGCUGCUGGGGUCCAUGUCGGUGAUCACGGUGAUCUACUGCGUGAUGGCGCUGGUGCUGAGCAUGAUGCAGCCGUACACGGCGAUCGACCGGAGCGCCGCCUACUCGGUGGCGUUCAGCAGCGUGGGGAUGCACUGGGCGCAGUACGUGGUGGCGCUGGGCGCGCUCAAGGGGAUGACGACGGUGAUGCUGGUGGGCGCGCUGGGGCAGGCGCGGUACACGACGCACAUCGCGCGGAGCCACAUCAUCCCGCCGGUGUUCGCGCUGGUGCACCCCAGGACCGGCACGCCGGUGAACGCCAACAUACUCAUCGCCGCCGCGGCCUGCUGCAUCGGCUUCUUCUCCAGCCUCGACGUGCUCUCCAGCCUGCUCUCCAUCAGCACGCUCUUCAUCUUCAUGAUGAUGGCCAUCGCGCUCCUGGUCCGGCGGUACUACGUGAAGGGCGUGACGACGCGGUCGCACGCGCUGCGGCUCCUGGUGUUCGUGCUGGUGAUCAUCGCCUCGUCGGCGGGCAUCGCGGCGUACUGGGGCACGACGCCCGGCCGGUGGGAGGGUUACGUCGCGCUGGUGCCGGCGUGGCUGCUGGGGACGCUCGGCAUCCAGAUGAUGGUGCCGGCGGCGCGCGCGCCCAAGGUGUGGGGGGUGCCGCUCGUGCCCUGGCUGCCCUCGCUCUCCAUCGCCACCAACCUGUUCCUCAUGGGCUCGCUCGGCUCGGAUGCCUUCGUCCGCUUCGGCGCCUGUACCGCCAUCAUGCUCAUCUACUACGUCCUCGUCGGCCUGCACGCCACCUACGACGUCGCCCACGAUGUGUGCAGCGAAGACGAGCUAAAAGACUACGGCGACGCCGCUGAUGAUGCUGCUGAUGAGAAGGCGACGGCGAAAACGGCCGACGUCGAGAGGGCUAGCGCGGGAGACGGCGGCCGCUAA
Molecule: ribosomal RNA, 1848 nt
Filed under: Triticum aestivum (bread wheat)
Lineage: Eukaryota; Viridiplantae; Streptophyta; Magnoliopsida; Poales; Poaceae
Description: partial small subunit ribosomal RNA
Source: RNAcentral